AGCCAUGCCGCGUGCAGGAAGACUGCCCUAUGGGUUGUAAACUGCUUUUAUACAGGAAGAAACACUCCCUCGUGAGGGAGCUUGACGGUACUGUAAGAAUAAGGAUCGGCUAACUCCGUGCCAGCAGCCGCGGUAAUAAUCACU
Molecule: ribosomal RNA, 144 nt
Filed under: uncultured Bacteroidota bacterium
Lineage: Bacteria; Pseudomonadati; Bacteroidota
Description: uncultured Bacteroidetes bacterium partial 16S ribosomal RNA
Rfam family: Bacterial small subunit ribosomal RNA
Source: RNAcentral